AUAACAACGGGUAGCUUCACCGCCCCGGGUCCCCCUCUUUCCAGUCUUCCUCCCCAGCUCCUACUCCCCGUCCCCUGAGACCUAAACAGCGGCUUCUUAGCCCUCCCUGUUUUUCCCUCCUGCCCAGGAUUUCAACUCAUCUGCCAGGGGGAUGGCAUCCACACCUACCAGGAAUGGGGAGAAGGGCAGCAGGAUGUCCCAAGCUGGAACCCCCUCGGGUGGAAGUCUGAAGGUUUCAUUAUCCCGAUCUGAGGAAUUCCUGACCCGGAUCAGCACAGAACUCACCAAUGAGGCCUUGUUUAUCGCUGGCUGCCACAUGAACUCUGUGCCCACCAAGGAAAAACAGACCCAAGAUCGAGGGACUCAGAUAUCCAAACACGUGUCCUUCAAGACCCGAGGCACCGAUACCUGGUGAGUGAAGCUUCAAGGGAGAUGCCCUUUGUCCUGGGAGAAGGAUGAGGAGACUGAAGGGGAGAGAGCGAGGGUUUAACAACAUCCUAGCAGGUUCUGACAGAAACCGUACCUGCACCAGGGCCCACCUCCUGCCGUCCCCUCGUGACAAGGGAGCUGGGCUUAGCAGCUUGACAUCUGGAGGAUGACCGCAACCUUCUGCAGUGCUGCUCUUGGCCUCUCACGCUCUCCCCCAUUGUGUCCUCCUAGAACAUGCGUCAGACCUCCUCAUUCACAAGUCACUAACGCUUCGGUUUGCUGGGGACUCCUGGUCAUAAGCAGCAGCACACUUGAAGCCUCCCAGGUGUUCUGGAACCAUCUCACACCUUUCCAGGACUCAGCUGGCAAGGACAUCACCAGAAAUCAAAGGCUUUAAUAAAAAGACCGAGAGAGGUCCUUCCCUCCUCCCAACCCAGGCCUGGCUCUGGAGUGGCUUCUCUGGGGUGGAGA
This is an RNA transcript of Zalophus californianus (California sea lion), 900 nucleotides long. It is a transcript of the gene named putative protein T-ENOL, with no coding region annotated. NCBI's taxonomy places the organism in Eukaryota, Metazoa, Chordata, Mammalia, Carnivora, Otariidae. The transcript is spliced from 6 exons. The record is from RefSeq and is a predicted model, not a curated record.